RNAcentral lists this long non-coding RNA (335 nucleotides) under Setaria viridis. RNAcentral's name for it is "long non-coding RNA (SVIR_LNC008461)". The record is from RNAcentral. Lineage: Eukaryota; Viridiplantae; Streptophyta; Magnoliopsida; Poales; Poaceae.
CCCUGGAUUUAGUCCAUCCAUGGAUGAUUUUCUUUUAAAAAAUAUACAUCAUAACUCUUUUAUAUGGUACUGGAUGUAGUCUCUAUCUGAGCAUUAUAGAACUCAAUGUGGAUUUACAGCUUUGUAAUCGACAACCUUUUGAUUUAAAGCUAUUUUAAUGUAUGAAACGUGACUAGAAAGAUUUGAAGGCACAAAUACACAUCAAUACAUAGAGGUGAAAGAACCUCCUGGAAUAAAAACAAAACGUAAACAUCUGCGACACUUCACCCAAGCUUUGGUAGUACAACUUCAAGUAGGUUCUUGACAGCAAACUUGUGCCGUAGCCCCACCCUCAC